UACGGAGGAUGCGAGCGUUAUCCGGAUUUAUUGGGUUUAAAGGGUGCGCAGGCGGCCUGUUAAGUCAGCGGUAAAAGCCCGGGGCUCAACCCCGGCGAGCCGUUGAAACUGGCGGGCUGGAGUUGGAGAGAAGUACGCGGAAUGCGCGGUGUAGCGGUGAAAUGCUUAGAUAUCACGCAGAACCCCGAUUGCGAAGGCAGCCUUCCGGCGCCCUACUGACGCUGAGGCACGAAAGUGCGGGGAUCGAACAGG
This 252-nucleotide ribosomal RNA is filed under the name uncultured Bacteroidales bacterium. Its description in RNAcentral is "partial 16S ribosomal RNA". It matches the Rfam family "Bacterial small subunit ribosomal RNA", at positions 524 to 776 of the family's 1533-position model. The record is from RNAcentral. Lineage: Bacteria; Pseudomonadati; Bacteroidota; Bacteroidia; Bacteroidales.